Non-coding RNA from Ceratotherium simum simum (southern white rhinoceros), 313 nucleotides. The record is from RefSeq and is a predicted model, not a curated record. NCBI's taxonomy places the organism in Eukaryota, Metazoa, Chordata, Mammalia, Perissodactyla, Rhinocerotidae.
CUUUUUGGCAUUCCAAUCUCAGCUUUGAUGUCAUCUCAGAGACAUGCAAACUACAGUAAGUCUUAUAGCCAUCACUCUAGUAAAGUCGCCAUAAAGUACCUGCCACGGCUGAUAGUUUUGUCAGUGUCUGUGUUUGGUGUCUCUCACCUUCUCCAUCUUAUCUGCCACAUGGGUAGGAACCUUGUCUGUCUGUCUCUGUGAUGCUAAAAUGGUGUGUGGCACGUAGUAGCUGCUCAGUGAACACCUGCUAAGUUAAUGUUGCACGACACUGGGAUAGGAUGGCUGGGGUUUCUGCUUAUGCUCCAAAGUGUGC